This 363-nucleotide unclassified non-coding RNA is filed under the name uncultured bacterium. Its description in RNAcentral is "contains 16S-23S intergenic spacer region". The record is from RNAcentral.
UCCCCCGUGAGGGGGCAGUCUCGCCAGACACUUGUAACUGGCAACGAAGGUUGCGUUCGUUACCCCACUGAAGGGAACGAUUCAAACCACGAACUGACGACAGCCGUGCAUCACCUGUCCUACACCCUCGAAGGCUUUCUAGCUUUCGCUAGACGUGCAGUAGGAUUUCUAACCCUGGUAAGGUUCUUCGCUUAGCGACGAAUUGAGCCACACGCUCCACCGCUUGUGCAAGCUCCCGUCUAUUCCUUUGAGUUUUAGCCUUGCGGCCGUACUACCCAGGCGGAUGACUUAACGCGUUAGCUUCGCCUCGAAGAGGGUCGAUACUCCUCAAAGCCAGUCAUCAUCGUUUAGGGCGUGGACUAC